UAUUAUGUAAGUUUAGCUGAUUAAAGUUUAUGACUCUGCACUACAAUAUUAUUUAUUAUUUAAGUUUACAUCAUUAUAAUAUUUAGGGUCAGACUCUACAGUAUUGAGAUUAAGAAAUCAAAUAUUCUGUAAAAUGUAAAUACACUGAACUCAUUUGGAUAUAUUUAAGUGAAACUCUACAAUAUUAUUUGACACAAAUCUAUCUAAAUCAAAAUUUUAGUAAUUUUCAUGCCAAACAUUUACUGGACUGAUUUAAAUAUUAAAAUCACUCCUUUCUAAUCCUCUGCUGUACGUUCAAACCUGAGGCCUGAAAUAGAAACACACAAGUAUCUGAUUGAAGGAACUUCUGCAGAGUCCUGGUUCCAGAACAUGAUGAUAGAAUUAUAGACAAACUUUAACAAAAGCUGCCUGAGAGUUUACAGGUUUUUAUGUUGGAUUUCUUCAGUAAUUUAAUGAGUUAUCAGCAAUAAUCAAGUGUUCAUUUGAUGAACUUCAUUUCCUAAAACAUCCCGAAUUGGAGCUCGUAUCUUUGGCAGCUGUAAAGUUUCUGCUCCUUCAAAGUUCACAACACAAUGAAUGAAUUCCUUUUAGCUGCCAUAAUUGUUAUUAUUGUUAAGAAAUGCAUUUGAUAUGAUUUGUAUAUUUUAUUUUGUCAAGUAAUUAUUUUUAUUUUGUUAACUGCUCAAGGGAAGCACUUUCUGUUUCAUGUUGCAAGGGGGACACUUUUACCUGUGACACAUAUGAUUUGGUUUUUCGAUGUAUUAUAAACUUGUUCAAGACGCACAUCCAGCCGUAAGAAAGGCAUAGCGUCAUACAAGGACUGAAAGGUGACGUUUGCAACGGUAAACUCUUUUUGUUUGAAGGAACAUUCUUCUUUUUGAUCAUUUUUGUGUUUGUGACGAAGCGGACUCAUUCCCUCUUUGCGUAAAUGCGGCUAGCGAGUUCGACGGUGGGUUUGUAUGGAGUUAACUGAAGUCAAUAAACCCGUCAGUGCUACAAGAACCAUGGUCUAAUUCCUGGAGGGAGUGAUAUCCUAAAACACUCUCAGUGCUGGAGAGCGUUUGUGAUGCUGAAGCAGUGACCAGUUUUUCUGUUUCUUCUCUGGAGAUGCACAAUGAGGGACGUCUGCAGCGACUGAGAAAGAGUCUCACCACAUCCUGACAUGAGGAAAAAGACUUUAUUGAAGACUACAAUGAGAAAAACUAUCAGAAGGUGAGCUCUGAACAUUUGAUCUGGAACAGGAAUUCAAUAACUGCAGCAUGAGCUUCAUUUCAGUCUGUAGCUGCUGAAUUCAUGGAUGGAUCAUCUGGUACUAGAGAAGAAGACCAUCAAACAUCCACGUCAGCUGAUGGAGGUCCAAGAGUCUCAUCCAACAACCAACCUACAGUGAAGACCUCGAAUCUGAUUGGACGGCCUCCUAUUCAGCCACGUGUGAACAAAUGUCUCUAAGCUGAUUUGUUUUCUAAAAUAAAUCUAGUUUGUGUUCUAAUCUAUGCCUGUGUGUUUGCUUCUUUACACUGCUGUUAAGAGUUUAGGCUGUUAGAUUGUUCCAGAUAAGACAAGUACAAGAUUCUUCAGAGCCGUUCUACCACGAGCCUGACAGGAAGAACUCCAACAGCUACUGAAUGUUCCUGUGGUCCCCUCAAGGCUACAGGAGGAGCCCUACGAGGACGAGCUGGUCCACCUGAUGGAGGCCAGUCGCUGUGGUUCAAAGCCAACACCGACUACGUGGACUUCUACUGGACCACAUGGAGGCCUUCAAACCGGACCAACAAGUUCAGCGACUCCCCGACUCGUGGGUCUGAGGACGCCGCUGAGCCUCGGUCCAGCUGGCCUCCUGUCUGUGGGUGUUUGAGUGCUGAGAGGUUUGUGGAUGCAUGUGAACGUUCUGUGUUGAAACAGCAGCUUUGGACUCAGUAACGCUGGGAAAAACCAAGAGCUCCUUUAUUUGUGACUUCCACUAAAAAAACUGAUGAAAAUAAGUUUGACAGGGUUCUGACUGAUAACAGAUUGUUAAAUAAUGAAAAUAAUCAUUCAAAUAU
Molecule: long non-coding RNA, 2042 nt
Organism: Amphiprion ocellaris (clown anemonefish)
Lineage: Eukaryota; Metazoa; Chordata; Actinopteri; Pomacentridae
Source: Ensembl